UGGAACAAUACGAACUAACCAGUACCC
This 27-nucleotide unclassified non-coding RNA is filed under the name Mus musculus (house mouse). Its description in RNAcentral is "piRNA piR-mmu-68179016". The record is from RNAcentral. Lineage: Eukaryota; Metazoa; Chordata; Mammalia; Rodentia; Muridae.